This is a long non-coding RNA of Ictalurus punctatus (channel catfish), 1226 nucleotides long. The record is from Ensembl. NCBI's taxonomy places the organism in Eukaryota, Metazoa, Chordata, Actinopteri, Siluriformes, Ictaluridae.
UAAAACAGAACACUAUGAAUUAGAUCAGGGUUCGUUUAUUUCUGUAAUCUCCAUUUAAAUCGAUUUCAGCUUGAAACGAUGCACGUAUGAAGGCACAUGAAAAGCUGGGACGCACCAGACAAGGGGAAUUUUUUUAUUUUUUUUUCCCCCCAUCCCAAUGUGGGGAGGUUAAAACAUUAGACUAAGUGGCAGAGGGGGUUAGAGGGUUAUAGUCAGCCUCCUGAGAAUUUAAUCCUCAUUCUAUACAAAAGCAAUCAUGUACAAGAAUUUUGACACUAAGAAGGCCAGAUGCCAUUCAUGCUACGAUACCGUCGCUAGUCAAGUUUGUUCUCACACAGUACAAACUGGAGGGUAUUUCAGACACGGCACAUUCUCCGAGUACACGGUCCAUCACUUGCGCUCAUUUAGGAAUUUACAUUUCCAGAAACAAGCAGGAACAAGUGUUUAAAAACGUGUAAAGAAAUAUAUACAUAGACACACAUCCAGCAGAUUUGACCUGUUCAAUCUACUCCAAGCAGAUGAUAUGGGAGUGAACGUGAUAUGCUUGACACACUUACUGGUUACAUGUUUUCAUUGGUGCGCAACAGUAAAUGACAUGAUUCCUCUAGCUCAAAUCAUAUUUCUACAACAAUUCUAAAAAGAUACAUACAAUCAAAUGAGACGAGAGCACUUGGGAAAUAUAUACAGCAGCCAUUGUUCAGCAAAAAAGCCAAAAACCAUAGAAUUCAACAGGUCUAAACCGUUUCAUUCCGAGACAUUCUACUUAAAUGCCCAUACUCAUUGUGCUAAUACUCUCACUACAUUAAAUCCUCAGCCAGUGUUCAUACACAACAGUGGAUCAACAGAAUUCACACGAAUUAUAUAUUAAAAAAAAGAAAAGGAAAAAAUAAAAAAAUAAGAGAUUCAAAAUGUUCCAUCCUUCAUAAUUGUAUGGUUUUUGUAUUUCCCUGCUCAAAACAGACAAGAUGGCAGUGAACCAAAUUGGAAAAGAAAAAUGUAACAACAACAAAAUAUCAUGUGUUUGAUAGUCAUUGUAGCAUAUGGACUAUGUACAGAACCAUGUGCUAAACACAGAGCAGCGGGUGACAAAACUUCCAAUUCUAGUCCUUUUGAAUCCUCAGUAAAUCAAAACUUUUGAUCUAUUGCAAUUCUCAAAAAUCUGUGACAGAUAAGCAGCCAUCGUAUACUUGGACCAGGAAUGCAGGGAAAAAAAAAAAAAAAAAGGG